ACAUUAUUGGUUAAUUAAGUUUUACUGACUCUCAUGCUCAAGACAGAGAAUAAAAAAAGAAAAAUAAAAGGAGCAGUCAUACCUAAAUCCAUGUACACUGAGGAUGGAAACAUGUAACUAACUCUAAUACUUGAUUUAGGACGCUAAUAAAACGUAGUACGAGUAGCAAUAUCAACUUAUUUAUGUACACUGACGCCGAGGAAAAUCAUCUUUAUGUACACCUUCGUCAAAAUUCUGUGAGUAACUAACAGCAUCAUACUGAAACUUCAGCGUCUUCUUCCCAUAGUUCACAUUCUUGCCUUCCUUCACUAAUUUCUUCAACAACUUUCUCCAUAAUUUCGCCCGAUUCCAGCUACCUCUUCCACGUUGACACGUGUUUAUUUGCGAGUACUCAGCGUGCACCGGAAUGCAAGACGGUGACAUACAACCAUACAAGCUCUGAGACGCCGGUCGCCGGUAAUUGGCAUCGGCUCCCAUGGAUGGAAAAUAUGGGCGUAUUGCCAAAGAUAAUAUGUUUGUUUUUGUAGUGAGAUUUUAGUGGAAAGUUUGUUCCGUUUCUCUCUCCUAUAAUUUUUUAUUUGAAGUGUUUAACGGGUAGAAUGGACGAUAAGUACAAGUACUAGUAAAAAUGUCUAUCCUCUCUGUACCACUUUUCUGUGGACCUUGGGCAAGUUAGACAUUUGAC
Molecule: long non-coding RNA, 685 nt
Filed under: Nicotiana benthamiana
Lineage: Eukaryota; Viridiplantae; Streptophyta; Magnoliopsida; Solanales; Solanaceae
Description: long non-coding RNA (NBEN_LNC037684)
Source: RNAcentral